Long non-coding RNA from Ailuropoda melanoleuca (giant panda), 753 nucleotides. RefSeq lists it as uncharacterized. Lineage: Eukaryota; Metazoa; Chordata; Mammalia; Carnivora; Ursidae. The record is from RefSeq and is a predicted model, not a curated record. The transcript has 2 exons.
ACGGCCGGUCGCGCUGGAGCUGUACAAAGACUUCAAAGAGCUGGGCCGGUUCAUGCUGCGCUAUGGCGGCGCCACGAUCGCCGCCGGCGUGGUCACCGAGAUAAAGGAAUGAUGGGUCAGAAUUUCUACCGUGUUUCCAAAUGCAAUGAAAUAGCUAACCUGUUUUUAAAGAAUCCAGUUGUUCAGUUAAAGGAGCAAUGUGCAAUUGGUUAUUUUUUUAAAUGAGAAACUUAAAAUGAUAUAAUCAUCUGCAAAGAAGUAUUAAUCAUCACUCCUCCUAAAGUUUCAAGUUGCCAAAUGGCAAAGAAAGGCUAAUACUACGCUUUCAUUUAAAAAAACGCUUUCCCUUUGAAAUGUUAGUGAAUGGAUUUACUUUGCUGAGGUUUAUGGAAACCAUCAGAAAUAUGUAUUAGACGACCUUCAGUCAUCAUGAAAUGACCUCUGCUUCCAGCCAAACCACAAAACGUUUACAGUGUUCAACUCUACUGCACACUUAUUUUAAGGGAAAGUAACUAAAUUGGGUUGUUGAGGCAGUUAAUAUUCAACCUGAGCAAUUUUUUUUUUUUUUUUUUUUUUUUUUUAGCUAAGAAAAGACAAUAGGAAAGGUGUUUGUGUUGAGCAUAAGAAUAUUCUCCCCCCAACAAAUGAACUUUUGAAAGCUUAGUUUGGAAUUAGUGGAAACUGUCCCUUUGGUAACCAAUAUAUUAUUUAAGGUGUAAAGCCAACCAAUAAAAUGCCUUAGUUUGAGCAUAA